Molecule: ribosomal RNA, 468 nt
Filed under: uncultured bacterium
Lineage: Bacteria
Description: partial 16S ribosomal RNA
Rfam family: Bacterial small subunit ribosomal RNA
Source: RNAcentral
GACGAACGCUGGCGGCGUGCUUAACACAUGCAAGUCGAACGGAAAGGCCCUGCUUUUGUGGGGUGCUCGAGUGGCGAACGGGUGAGUAACACGUGAGUAACCUGCCCUUGACUUUGGGAUAACUUCAGGAAACUGGGGCUAAUACCGGAUAGGAGCUCCUGCUGCAUGGUGGGGGUUGGAAAGUUUCGGCGGUUGGGGAUGGACUCGCGGCUUAUCAGCUUGUUGGUGGGGUAGUGGCUUACCAAGGCUUUGACGGGUAGCCGGCCUGAGAGGGUGACCGGCCACAUUGGGACUGAGAUACGGCCCAGACUCCUACGGGAGGCAGCAGUGGGGAAUAUUGCACAAUAGGCGGAAGCCUGAUGCAGCAACGCCGCGUGCGGGAUGACGGCCUUCGGGUUGUGAACCGCUUUCGCCUGUGACGAAGCGUGAGUGACGGUAAUGGGUAAAGAAGCACCGGCUAACUACGUG